This 1519-nucleotide ribosomal RNA is filed under the name uncultured bacterium. RNAcentral's name for it is "bacterial SSU rRNA". It matches the Rfam family "Bacterial small subunit ribosomal RNA". The record is from RNAcentral.
GAAUGAAUGCUUAAGGUGUGCUUAACUCAUGCAAGUCUGACGAGGUUCAAAAAUUUGAACAUACUUGUGGCGCAUACGUGAGUAAUAUCCCGGAACUAGCCCGAAGGUAGGGUUAAAUUUCCCUGUCCUUUUUUUUAAGAUACUAAAAUCGCGAAAGAGAUACUUAUACUCUAUAGCCAAAGAUUAAUCGCCUUCGGAUCGGCUGGGUGAGUAUCAAGGUAGUUGGCAGGGUGAGGGCCUACCAAGCCGGUGACGCUUAGCUGUUUUGCGAGAUCGUGGAGCCACGCCGGGACUGAAAUAAAGCCCGGACUUUUUCGAAAGUCAGCAGAGUGGAAUUUUGGGCAAUGAGCGCAAGCUUGACCCAGCGACACCCUGUGGGUGAUGACGGACACGCGUAGCCGUAAAGCCACUUUCAAAAGAGAAUGAUGAUGUUAUUUUGAAAGUUAAGCCCCGGCAAACUUCGUGCCAGCAGCCGCGGUAAAACGGAGGGGGCAAGUGUUAUUCUUAAUGACUGGGCGUAAGGGAUACGUAGGUUGCUCUUCUAACUUUGGUUCUAAAUGCUGCAUAUUUAAUUGUAGAAAGGCCUUAUGUUAACGUUGAGCUGGAGUAGUUAGUCAAAGUAGACUGGAGUCUUAGUUUAGGGAUAAAAUUCUUUGAAAUUAAAGGGGCCGCUCAGAGAAGAAGUUGGUCUGCUAGAGACUACUGACGCUGAGGUAUGAAAGCAUGGGUAUCAAAGGGGAUUCGGUACCCCGUAGUCCACGCCGUCAAUAAAAGAUAUUCCGUAUUUGUUGAAAAAAAAAUUGCAUUUCGGUAGUUAACGCGUAAACAUCUCGCUGGGGACUACAAUCGCAAGGUUAAAACUCAAAGGAAUUGGCAGGAAUUCAUACAAGCGGUGGAGCAUGUGGUUUAAUUCGAUAGUCCGCGCCAAACCUUACCAGUCUUCGAUUUGGCUCAGGUAUCUUUCGUAUAACUGGAAAUGAUAUUGAGUAACAGGUGUUGCAUGGCUGUCGUCAGACCGUGCUGUGAGGUGUUCGGAGAUAUUCGAUUUAACGGUCGCAACCUUACUAUCUAGUUGCUUUAAUUUCUUUAGCUUCGGCUAAAGGAAAGCUCUCUAGGUAAACUAAUUCUGUUCUUGGUUCGCCAAGAACGAAUGUGGAGACAGAGAUAACGCCAAGUCUGCAUGACCUUUAUAGACUGGGCUACACAUGUGCUACAAUGGCGACGACAAAAAGAAGCAAAAAGGCAACUUUGAGCAAAUCUUCAAAAACCGUCAAGUUCGGAUUGCUCUUUGCAAGUCAAGAGCAUGAAGUUGGAAUCGCAAGUAAUCGCGAAUCAGCAUGUCGCGGUGAAAGGUUGACUGGAUUCGGUACACACUGCCCAUCACGCUGCGGAAUCUGGCUUGCUUGAAUCUUCAAUGAACCCUCUGUAAGACUUCUGAAACAGUUUUUUAGAGUAACUCUUUUUCUGUAGAUGGUUAAGAGGUGGAUUAUGAAGUGAUAGAUGGGUUGGAAACUGAAGC